CAUUACUGAAAGAUCACGGGGUUUUGAGACUGCAUCUUAAAUGGUGUGUGCUCGACUCCUACUCUUUUAUCCACAUACACCUUUUGUGCACUAUGGGACGAUUUAAAGUCCCCUUUAUUUACACAAACACUUGGUAUAUGCAUGUAUUUAAUACUCUAUUGAGUAAUGUACAACUUUCAACAACGGAUCUCUUGGCUUUCGCAUCGAUGAAGAACGCAGCGAACGUGCGAAACGUAAUGUGAAUUGCAGAAUUCAGUGAAUCAUCGAAUCUUUGAACGCAUCUUGCGCUCCUUGGCAUUCCGAGGAGUAUGCCUGUUUGAGUGUCGUGAAAUACUCUCAAUUUCUUUCUUUAUUGAUUGAAAUUGGAUUUGGAUGAUGUUGUGAAAGAAAUCAUGACUGAUCCUAAAUGCAUUAGCGAUCUGAAUUGAUCACACGCAAUGUGAUAAGAAAAAGCAUUGUUAAGAUUAAAGACAGAUUGCUUCAAAUACUAAUCAAUGUCAUUUGACCUCAAAUCAGGUAGGACUACCCGCUGAACUUAAGCAUAUCAAUA
RNAcentral lists this ribosomal RNA (550 nucleotides) under Geastrum aff. hariotii MA-Fungi 78289. RNAcentral's name for it is "eukaryotic LSU rRNA". The stretch from base 172 to 326 matches the Rfam family "5.8S ribosomal RNA". The record is from RNAcentral. Lineage: Eukaryota; Fungi; Basidiomycota; Agaricomycetes; Geastrales; Geastraceae.